CCUAUGCCCUGAAAAGCCCAUGCGGGAGCCCUACUGGGAGGCCUGCAAGGAGAGAAUCCCGUGAAAGCCGGGGGCGGUCGCGCCGCUGUAAGGGAGGACGAAACCGGCAUGAACCAAUGUCGCUUGCGAUGUGAAGGAGCCGGGAGUAGAGAGAGCCCCGAGCCAGAAGAACUGUGGGAAACGCUUUUUGAGG
This 193-nucleotide non-coding RNA is filed under the name Fibrobacter sp. The record is from RNAcentral. Lineage: Bacteria; Pseudomonadati; Fibrobacterota; Fibrobacteria; Fibrobacterales; Fibrobacteraceae.